This 11597-nucleotide long non-coding RNA is filed under the name Triticum aestivum (bread wheat). RNAcentral's name for it is "long non-coding RNA (TAES_LNC020776)". The record is from RNAcentral. Lineage: Eukaryota; Viridiplantae; Streptophyta; Magnoliopsida; Poales; Poaceae.
UCCAACUGGGGUCAUCCCCAAUCUCGCUACAGGAGCAGGGAGCCGUGGCGGGCAUCCAUGGCGCCCCAGCCAGGUGCCGGCUAUCCCGCGGCUCCCCCUGUUGGUUAAGGGCGCCCCCAGCAGCCUCCGUCCCCUCUGGAACCCUAGCCCCCAAAUCCCACAUCUCCCUCUCCCUCGCCCACUCUCUUCGCCCCGCGCGGGAUCGCCGCGUCACCACCGCUGCGUCGUCGUCACCACGACCAACGAGCUCUCCGCCGCGGGAGAACCUACCAGGAGCCCCGCGUCGUUCGUCCACACCGUCCUCGCUCGCAAGCCCGAGCCGCGGAGGUCGUCAUCGCCCGAUCGGGCAUCUUCCCCUGUUUCGGUCGCCGCCGUCCCGCCGCGUGGAGCCUCCCCGAGAAUACCAUCCGCCCCCUGGUGAGCUCCUCUCCCCAUCCCCCUCUUUUACUUGCUCGAUCCGUCACCGUAUCGUCGUCCUCGCAAGCCUGGCCGCCAUGGCCGACGCUUUGCGUCCGAGAGCAAGCCCGCCUGCCCAUCCCCGCGCCUUUGCUCCUCGCAGUGCGCCCAUAGCAGCUCCUCAUCGCGCCUUGCCUUGCGCUCGGCUGUGCCUCCACGCACGCGUCCGCCCCCGUGUUGCCGUGCUCCCGGCCGCCCCUGCGAGCCGCCACAGCCUGCUCCUGCGCUGCUGCUGCUACUUACUUCUCUACUUGUUGUUGCUAUGCGUUGCUACUAGCUCGGCUGCUGCAUCCUACUACUGUCGCUGCUUACUGUACUUUGUAGUUACUAGCUAGCUUCUCUAGUUUUACAAUGACUAACACUUUAGACAGUUCCUAAACGAUGGCUAACCAACUACUAACUUGGGCAAAAAUAAUAUGAGUAGAAAGUUUGCAUGACGAACUCCAUUUUAUUCCACUGGACCAAAUCCCUUCGAUGCCUGGAUUAAAUCCUAUCAAAAUCGCAAAAUGCUCUUUUUUGUUAAAAGGAAAUAGAAGUAACUCCUAGCUAGGUGCUCUGUGUGUGUAUUUUGUAGGUGUGUGUGAUGUAUGUACAGCGUGUGUGUGGCCGGUGUGCCCAUGUGUGUAGGGCUGCCCCAAAGCAGCGUGUGUGUGUGUGCUGUGUAGGUGUGUGUGUGUGUGAUAUUUGUGCAGCGUGUGAGUGUGUGUGGCCGAUGUGCCAUGUGUGUGGGGCUGCCCCAAAAUUAGUUUAGGUCUAGUUUAAUUAGAUGGAUUAGUUUCAGGAUUAUUUUUGCUUCUUAGCUAGUUUUAUUAGUGCUAAGUUACUCUAGUAGUAGAUGACAUGUAGGCCCUCUUUUUAAAUAAGUUAGGUUUAGAGUCUAUGACAUGUGGGCCACACAUCCCCUUUUGACUAGUCAAAUUGACUUAGUCAACCCGAAUUAGAAUAAUAUGUUAAUUCUAGAAAAUAAAUUAAACUUUAAAAAUCAAUAUAAAAUAAUCCGUAACUCGGAUGAAAAUACCAUGUACAUGAAAGUUGCUGAGAACGACGAGACGAAUUCAAAUACGCAGUCCGUUCGUUCGCCACACAUCCCUAGCAUAGCGAACACGCAACUUUCUCCCUCCGGUUCAUCUGCCCGAAAACGCGAAACACCGAGGAUACUUUCCCGGAUGUUUCCCCCCUUCGCUGGUAUCACAUAUCCUUGCGUUACGUCACCCUUAGCACAACGUAUUGCCGCGUCUUGCUUUGUGUUACAUUUGAUUGCUCUGUUAUUUAUUGUGUUCCCCCUCCGUUACUUCUUUUCGGUAGGCUUCGAGACCGUUGCCGAUACCCCUGUGAUCGGCUACAUCGACGAUGACCCCUCUCUCUUGUCAGAGCAACCAGGCAAGCCCCCUCUUUGAUCACCAGAUAUCGCCUACUCUUCUCUCUACUACUUGCAUUAGAGUAGUGUAGCAUGUUAUUGCUUUCCGUUAAUCCUAUUCUGAUGCAUAGCAUGUCUUUACUACUACUGUUGUUACCUUUACCUGCUAUCCUAAUGCUUAGUAUAGGAUGCUAGUGUUCCAUCAGUGGCCCUACAUUCUUGCUCGUCUGCCAUGCUAUACUACUGGGUCGUGAUCACUUCGGGAGGUGAUCACGGGCAUAUUCGAUAUACUUUAUACUGUUAAAUUACUUAUGAUACUGUUCGGAGUUAGGGGCUGAAGGGGCAGGUGGCUCCAUCCCGGUAGAGGUGGGCCUGAGUUCCCGACGGCCCCGACUGUUACUUUGUGGCGGAGCGACAGGGAAGUUGAGACCACCUAGGAGAGAGGUGGGCCUGACCCUGGUCGGCGUUCGCGGUUAUUUCAAGAUAACACAUUUAACGAGAUCUUGGUAUUUGAUCUGAGUCUGUCCACUGGCCUAUACGCACUAACCAUCUACGCGGGAACAAUUAUGGGCACUCGACGUCGUGGUAUCAGCCGAAGCCUUCGUGACGUCAGCGACUGAGCGGCGCGCGCCGGAUUGAACUGGAACGCCUGCUAGGCUAGGUCUGCUUCCGCCGCGUUCGCAACGUGCAGGUGUGCAAUGGGCGAUGGGCCCAGACCCAUGCGCCAUAGGAUUUAGACCGGCAUGUUGACCUCUCUGUUGUGCCUAGGUAGAGUUGCGACGUGUUGAUCUUCCGAGGCCAGGCAUGACCCAGAAAAGUGUGUCCGGCCAAAUGGGAUCGAGCGUGUCGGGUUAUGUGGUGCACCCCUACAGGGAAGUUAAUCUAUUCGAAUAGCCGUGAUCUUCGGUAACAGGACGACUUGAAGUUGUACCUUGACCUUAUGACAACUAGAACCAGAUACUUAAUAAAACACAUCCUUCCAAGUGCCAGAUACAACCGGUGAUCGCUCUCACAGGGCGGCGAAGGGAGGGUCAUCGGUUAGGAUUAUGCUAUGCGAUGCUACUUGGUGAACUUACCAUCUACUCUCUUCUCCUGCUACAAGAUGGAGGUUACCAGAAGCGUAGUCUUUGAUAGGACUAGCUAUCCCCCUCUUAUUCCGGCAUUAUGCAGUUCAGUCCACAUAUGAUACCCCUUUUUCCAUUUGAUACCAAUGCAUACAUAUGUAGUGUAGCUCCUUGCUUGUGAGUACUUUGGAUGAGUACUCACGGUUGCUUUGCUCCCCCUUUCCCCCCUUUCUGUACCCGGUUGUUGCGACCAGAUGAUGGAGUCCAGGAGCCAGAGGAUCCCGAGGAUGAUUCUACGUGGAGUUCGACUUCCAGGAGUAGUUUAGGAGGAUCCCAGGCAGGAGGCCUGCGCCUCUUUCGAUCUGUAUCCCAGUUUGUGCUAGCCUUUUUAAGGCAAACUUGUUUAACUUAUGUCUGUACUCAGAUAUUGUUGCUUCCGCUGACUCGUCUAUGAUCGAGCUCUUGUAUUCGAGCCCUCGAGGCCCCUGGCUUGUAAUAUGAUGCUUGUAUAACUUAUUUUAUUUGUAGAGUUGUGUUGUGAUAUCUUCUCGUGAGUCCUUGAUCUUGAUCGUACAUGUUUGCGUGUAUGAUUAGUGUAUGGUCAAAUCGGGGGCGUCACAAGUUGGUAUCAGAGCCGACUGCCUGUACGAAUCCCUCUUCCACACUCCUUUGCGAAAGUUGAGUCUAGUCGUUACAAAACUUUUACUAACAUGGCUGUGCGCCUUACGGGCCCACGUCGCCAUUGGGUGGUAUUAGGAUCUUUUACUCCUUGUCUAUACUCUGGGACUCUGAUCUCUCUUCUAUUCGGGUUAAAUGAAUUUUGCUAAAUCUAACAUUAGGAGCUCGUCAUCACUUUCACCCGGAGAGCCUUUUAUUACUGAUGAUCGUCUGCUGCACGUGAAGACCCUGAAGAUACGCUUCGCUGUUAACCCGAGAACUUGUGUUCAUCGCGUUUGCAAUUCCCCUUUCACCGUCAACCCUUAUGGAUAACUACUUGCAGUUGUUAUUCUUACAUUCAUCCCCAGUUGGUCUUGUUAUUACAAGAUACCCCGAAAUACUCGUCGUUGUUUUGAUAAUCCUUUGAGCUUACUGCCUUGCUGUUCUUUGUCACCUGAAUAACCCUAUGGAUAAUUCUCGCACUUAUCGAGUAUCCGCUCACCCCCAGUUGUUCAUGUGUUUCACAAUGGUCUUCGAAAUACUAUUCGGUCCUCCAAGAAUCCUUAGUAGCUUAUUGCUCUGCAAUACUUGUCUGCUUGCAUUUUGGAUGCUUUCCAUAUGUCUGGCAAUAUUUGUUAGUAUCCUUAGACACCGUAAUUUUGAUCCUAAUGAUUCAACAUGAGUGCGAAUGCACGCAAUUAUCAGUUGAUCCUUUUAAAUUAUCUUUCUGGCUCAGACAUCGUUUUUGAACAUGAGCUUGUUCUUGACCAAUCUGUUUGCCGUCAAUUGUACCCUUAGGUCUAUUGAACUUAUCCACCCUUGAUCAGAGCGUCUACUUCUGAUCCUUCUAUUUGGGAAUCAUAAUUCCUUUGAUAACUAAGCAUCAAAUCAUUCAGGUGUUCUAUAAUCUGAGGCCCUUGCAUCCUAUCUUCAACUGAUUGUGUGCCGAUGCUCACAUCAGCUCUGCUAUGGACCGUCAGAUCCUUUAUUGGUUUACCAUUCAAAAGUGUCAUCCUUAUUCAAUAAGCUUGUGAGCCUUUCCUCGGAUACAUAAUGCUUUUGGUGAAUUGUAUCCUCUGUUUUCUUAACCAUGCUCUGUUUUCGAGCUGGUGGUAUUUACGAUUGAAGCUUGUGGUAUAUGAUUCCACGAUACCCUGACGGGUUGAACCUAUGCGUUUCUUAAUCUGUGUGAACCCGAAAGUUUUUCACGGGUCAUGCUCCUCUGGUAAUUCACCAGGUAGGUUUUUGACACUGAAAUCAUUUUUAACUAGAGCAGUGAAUGAAAGUUAUUGCAUUGAAGGAGUGGGAGUCGAUCUUGAACCUUGCGUUCAUGCCCAUGGACACGAUGUAGAUCUUAUCAUUAAAGCUUCUCUUAAAUUAAUUAUUCCUUUGGUAUAAGUUCAUCUUAUAUCUGGGAUCUGACCUUUUGCAAUCGUGGUUUCGACCAUGUUCUCCUUUAAAUACCAUUUCUCGUGCAAAUUUAAGCACUUGUCUUCUGCGGAGUAAUACCCUAGUCCAACCUCUACUUUGAUUUGUCGUCGAGUAUUACCCCCCUGGUAUCUCAAGAUUAUUAUGGAACUGCAUAACUUCUUAUGAGUUCUUCAUCAAGUGCUACAUUCUCAUUGAUUCCAAUUUUUCAUAGGUUCUGAGUUGUUAGUCGUUCAAGAACACCGGUAAGUGAACCGAUUCCGCACUCUGGUUCGAUAACUCUAAGUAAGCUUCAUUGCUUAUGAGUUUAAUAAUCCUUCAAGUCAUUCCAAGCCUGAUCGGCUAUAUCAUUAUCGUGCUAAAUUUUAACUGUGCUACCCGGUCCUUAAUCCCGGAGCACAACUUUCGAUAUGAGCUAAGCUUACGUCGACUUUCCACGUUAGAUCUUUUUGCCUUGAACAACAAGCUGGAUUCCGAGUUUGUGGCGUACUCGUGGUUCCAAUAACUUUUUGCUUCAUCAUUCCUUUGACUUGAUGUCAUCGCCGACCGAUUACAUCUCCAUGAAACCUCUCGACAGAAUUUUUCAUGAUCAUCAUCACCAUUCUUUUCUUGGUCCCCGUGUUGUUUCUAAUCAGAAUACCGACAAAUGGUCUGUGAUGUGUAAAUUCUAAACUUCUAGCAACCCUAUUGCUUUGAAGUUAUUGGUCUAUAGUUUCAUGCUACGUCUAUGGCUUAUUGAAUCAUCAUUCGAACAUUGAUCGUGCUACCUAGCCCAUAUUUCGGGUGCGCAUUUCAACCAAUGUUUAACUGUGUAUGUUUUCCUUGAGCAUACAUCAUUAAGUCAUUUGAUCUAGCUUAUGUUAUCUCCUUGUUCACAUAGUUGUGGAAAUCCAUCUUUUUGGAAAUCUCAAUGGAUUGUCGCUGAGUCAAUCAGUCACCUCCUCACCUCUCCUUGAUUUAAUGGUGAACCCUUGUUCGGAACUCGCUUCCAUAGUUCAUUUCCCGACAACCUUACAAUGUCAUCUCGACAAUUUGUGUUGCAUCUUUCUUCUCAAGCAUCCUAAGUCUGAGUUAUCCUGACACCAAUCAGAUCUGAAUCUCGGUCAGAUAUGAUGGUUGGAACAUAUUUCCAGGAGUUAUAACAUCUUUAUAUGACCCGGUAAGGUGAUGUCAUGCCUAGCACACCUGGCCGGAGGACUUAUGGUUAUAGUUCAUCCUUUUUAGCAAGGUUAUCCAUUCUUCCCUGAGGAAAUUGUAAGGCUUAUUCUACAAGUUGUUCCUGAUGGAUCCCUUGAGUAUCCAAAAUCCGACCUUUGCCUGUUGACCAUGUCCAUGCUAUCUCGAAGCAUGUCUGUGGUACUCCGAUUUUCAAUAAGAGCAUUUUAAGCACAAUGCUAAAUUCUCUUUAUCAAUUAUCCAAACACCGUUGUAUGGGUAAUCUCAUGAAAUUUCUCUCCCCUUUCCUAAAGGGUUUUCUACGUUAUAUCCUGUCAUGGCUAUCAUGCUCUGUUUGUCCUUGGGAAGGAUAUACCCCCUGAAAUUUGUGUUUAAACACAUUUUCCUUUCCAUUGUUCUGUUUAAUAUGAGGAUCACCUUUUCCUUUCCAUUGUUUUGUUUACCCUUUCUGAUGACCUAUAUGAUCUAAGCAGUAAUGUUCUUUUGUUUAUGUAAACACCUUGGUGUACAACCGUGUCAGUAAGACCCUGUUGCUUUUGUUGAUAGCAUUCCGGUAACCACCGAUGGACGAGAACUUUGCCUAAUGGUCCGCCUCGUUCAAUGAGCAGGAAAAUGGUUCUCUUCGUCCCUCGCCCUUGGUAUCGACAUUGUUGCCAACAUAACUGAUAGGCUACCCUCUGACAUGUCUUGCUAUCAUGACCGUGCAAGAUGUCAAUAUCCUUCCUACUUUUAACCACAUGGUGGGCCCAUAACCCAUAGUUCCACAUGAUCGAAACCUAACUCUCAUGUACAUCCCUGUUUCGAAGUUAUCCCUUGCACUUCGUUUCGUAUGUAAUUCGCGAGCCACCCUCCUAGUGAUCAAUUCUGGUAUCGGACACAAUACUUAUUCUCGUUGCUCUGAACCCCUUUCACACUCUGAUUCAGGCAAUAAACGAUUGCCUAUCCGCUCGAAACUUCUUAUUGCACCGUCUUACUUGCUCUCGAUGUUUUCUUAAGUUGCAAUUCGAGAGUUACUUUCCGCCACCUUCCCUGGUGUUAUCUACCGGCUAAGCAACCUUGUAGAGGCAUGUUCUUCCGAAGUUACCCCUUAGCAUUAUCGUAAGUACGGCGGAGUUCCUGAAGAAAGGACGACAACCUCAUCAUGAUGCAUUGAUGCAUAGGAAUGAAGACAUCAGCACUAUGGAUCGACCACUUCGAGAAGAGCAACCAAGACCGAGAAGAUCUGUUAGCAUUUCGUAACUAGACCUUCCCCCCCCCCCUUCUCAACCUCUUAAAUCUCGGGACGAGAUUUCUUGUAGUGGAGGAGAAUUGUGACGCCCGGAUAAUUUAGCUACAGUGACCCUCCACUAAUGAUGCCAAGUCAUCACUACUAUGCCCUAAGAAAAACAAUUCAGAAAUAUUUCAAACCAAAUUCAAAUUUAAAGUAAAGUCAAACAAUAAAUAUUUUCCAAAUGUCAAAACAAAAAUGUUCGCGUUAUUCUAUAAAUUCCUCUGAUCAUUGAAAUGUUGAAACCAACUUCAUCUGGGUCACAAAUAAAUUCUUAGGAAAUUAAUAAGUGGUCCAGCAGCAAAUAAAAUGGUCUUUUCAAAAUAAACGAUUAUUCAUACAAUUCAAGUUGACCUCAAACUUUGUGAGUCUCUUCAAAAUAUUGCAUAGAAUUUAGGUGCCAAUUUGUAACAUUUAACAAAAAUCACUUAGUUGCUAAAUUUAAUAAAAGUAAAGAAUAAAAUAGAAAAAUAGAAUACAAAACCUAACUACUGUUGGGCUGGACCUCAAGUGUGCAGGAGCAGGCCCAGUCCAACUGGGGUCAUCCCCAAUCUCGCUAUAGGAGCAGGGAGCCGUGGCGGGCAUCCAUGGCGCCCCAGCCAGGUGUCGGCUAUCCCGCGGCUCCCCCUGUUGGUUAAGGGCGCCCCCAGCAGGCUCCGUCCCCUCUGGAACCCUAGCCCCCAAAUCCCCCAUCUCCCUCUCCCUCGCCCGCUCUCUUCGCCCCGCGCGGGAUCGCCGCGUCACCACCGCUGCGUCGUCGUCACCACGACCAACGAGCUCUCCGCCGCGGGAGAACCUACCAGGAGCCCCGCGUCGUUCGUCCACACCGUCCUCGCCCGCAAGCUCGAGCCGCGGAGGUCGUCAUCGCCCGAUCGGGCAUCUUCCCCUGUUUCGGUCGCUGCCGUCUCGCCGCGUCGUUCAGCUCCUCCGGUCCUCCCCGAGCCUCUCCGGCCUGUCCCCGGCCUCCCCGAGAAUACCAUCCGCCCCCUGGUGAGCUCCUCUCCCCAUCCCCCUCUUUUACUUGCUCGAUCCGUCACCGUAUUGUCGUCCUCGCAAGCCUGGCCGCCAUGGCCGACGCUUUGCGUCCGAGAGCAAGCCCGCCUGCCCAUCCCCGCGCCUUUGCUCCUCGCAGUGCGCCCAUAGCAGCUCCUCGUCGCGCCUUGCCUUGCGCCCGGCUGCGCCUCCACGCACGCGUCCGCCCCCGUGUUGCCGUGCUCCCGGCCGCCCCUGCGAGCCGCCGCAGCCUGCUCCUGCGCUGCUGCUGCUACUUACUUCUCUACUUGUUGUUGCUAUGCGUUGCUACUAGCUCGGCUGCUGCAUCCUACUACUGUCGCUGCUUACUGUACUUUGUAGUUACUAGCUAGCUUCUCUAGUUUUACAAUGACUAACACUUUAGACAGUUCCUAAACGGUGGCUAACCAACUACUAACUUGGGCAAAAAUAAUAUGAGUAGAAAGUUUGCAUGACGAACUCCAUUUUAUUCCACCGGACCAAAUUCCUUCGAUGCCUGGAUUAAAUCCUAUCAAAAUCGCAAAAUACUCUUUUUUGUUAAAAGGAAACAGAACUCCUAGCUAGGUGCUCUGUGUGUGUAUUCUGUAGGUGUGUGUGAUGUGUGUACAGCGUGUGUGUGGCCGGUGUGCCCAUGUGUGUAGGGCUGCCCCAAAGCAGCAUGUGUGUGUGCGUGUGCUGUGUACGUGUGUGUGUGUGAUAUUUGUGCAGCGUGUAAGUGUGUGUGGCCGAUGUGCCAUGUGUGUGGGGCUGCCCCAAAAUUAGUUUAGGUCUAGUUUAAUUAGAUGGAUUAGUUUUAGGAUUAUUUUUGCUUCUUAGCUAGUUUUAUUAGUGCUAAGUUACUCUAGUAGUAGAUGACAUGUAGGCCCUCUUUUUAAAUAAGUUAGGUUUAGAGUCUAUGACAUGUGGGCCACACAUCCCCUUUUGACUAGUCAAAUUGACUUAGUCAACUCGAAUUAGAAUAAUAUGUUAAUUUUAGAAAAUAAAUUAAACUUUAAAAAUCAGUAUAAAAUAAUCCGUAACUUGGAUGAAAAUAUCAUGUACAUGAAAGUUGCUGAGAACGACGAGAUGAAUUCAAAUACGCAGUCCGUUCGUCCGCCACACAUCUCUAGCAUAGCGAACAUGCACCUUUCCCCUUUCGGUUCAUCUGCCCGAAAACACGAAACACCGAGGAUACUUUUUCGAAUGUUUCCCCCCUUCGCUGGUAUCACAUAUCCCUGCGUUACGUCACCCUUAGCACAACGUAUUAUCGCGUUUUGCUUUGUGUUACAUUUGAUUGCUCUAUUAUUUAUUGUGUUCCCCCUUCGUUACUUCUUUCCGGUAGGCUUCGAGACCGUUGCCGAUACCCCUGUGAUUGGCUACAUCGACGACGACCCCUCUCUCUUGCCAGAGCAACCAGGCAAGCCCCCAUUUGAUCACCAGAUAUCGCCUACUCUUCUCUCUACUGCUUGCAUUAGAGUAGUGUAGCAUGUUAUUGCUUUCCGUUAAUCCUAUUCUGAUUCAUAGCCUGUCCUUGCUACGACUGUUGUUACCUUUACCUGCUAUCCUAAUGCUUAAUAUAGGAUGCUAGUGUUCCAUCAAUGGCCCUACACUCUUGUCCGUUUGCCAUGCUAUACUACUGGGCUGUGAUCACUUCGGGAGGUGAUCACGGGCAUAUUCGAUAUACUUCAUACUGUUACAUUACUUAUGAUACUGUUCGGAGUUGGGGGCUGAAGGGGCAGGUGGCUCCAUCCCGAUAGAGGUGGGCCUGGGUUCCCGACGGCCCCGGCUGUUACUUUGUGGCGGAGCGACAGGGAAGGUUGAGACCACCUAGGAGAGAGGUGGGCCUGACCCUGGUCGGCGUUCGCGGUUAUUUCAAGAUAACACAUUUAACGAGAUCUUGGUAUUUGAUCUGAGUCUGGCCACUGGCCUAUACGCACUAACCAUCUACGCGGAGGCAGUUAUGGGCACUGGACGUCGUGGUAUCAGCCGAAGCCUUCGUGACGUCAACGACUGAGCGGCGCGCGCCGGAUUGGACUGGAAAGCCUGCUAGGCUAGGUCUGCUUCCGGCCGCGUUCGCAACGUGCAGGUGUGCAAUGGGCGAUGGGCCCAAACCCCUGCGCCAUAGGAUUUAGACCGGCGUGUUGACCUCUCUGUUGUGCCUAGGUAGGGUUGCGACGUGUUGAUCUUUCGAGGCCGGGCAUGACCCAAAAAAGUGUGUCCGGCCAAAUGGGAUCGAGCGUGUUGGGUUAUGUGGUGCACCCCUACAGGGAAGUUAAUUUAUUCGAAUAGCCGUGAUCUUCGGUAACAGGACGACUUGGAGUUGUACCUUAACCUUAUGACAACUAGAACCGGAUACUUAAUAAAACACAUCCUUCCAAGUGCCAGAUACAACCGGUGAUCGCUCUCACAGGGCGGCGAAGGGAGGGUCAUCGGUUAGGAUUAUGCUAUGCGAUGCUACUUGGUGAACUUACCAUCUACUCUCUUCUCCUGCUGCAAGAUGGAGGUUACCAGAAGCGUAGUCUUUGAUAGGACUAGCUAUCCCCCUCUUAUUCUGGCAUUAUGCAGUUCAGUCCACGUAUGAUACCCCUUUUUCCAUUUGAUACCAAUGCAUACAUAUGUAGUGUAGCUCCUUGCUUGCGAGUACUUUGGAUGAGUACUCACGGUUGCUUUGCUCCCCCUUUCCCCCCUUUCUGUACCCGGUUGUUGCGACCAGAUGAUGGAGUCCAGGAGCCAGAGGAUCCCGAGGAUGAUUCUACGUGGAGUUCGACUUCCAGGAGUAGUUUAGGAGGAUCCCAGGCAGGAGGCCUGCGCCUCUUUCGAUCUGUAUCCCAGUUUGUGCUAGCCUUUUUAAGGCAAACUUGUUUAACUUAUGUCUGUACUCAGAUAUUGUUGCUUCCGCUGACUCGUCUAUGAUCGAGCUCUUGUAUUCGAGCCCUCGAGGCCCCUGGCUUGUAAUAUGAUGCUUGUAUGACUUAUUUUAUUUGUAGAGUUGUGUUGUGAUAUCUUCCCGUGAGUCCUUGAUCUUGAUCAUACAUGUUUGCGUGUAUAAUUAGUGUACGGUCAAAUCGGGGGCGUCACAUAGGUGGAGGGGGACCACGUGGGGUCCACGAGGUAGGGGGCGUGCUUCAAGAGGUGGGCGCGCCCUGGACCCUCGUGGCCAGGUGGUGAGGCCCCCUAGUGUGUUCUCAGUGCCAAUAAUUCU